Molecule: ribosomal RNA, 386 nt
Filed under: uncultured bacterium
Lineage: Bacteria
Description: bacterial SSU rRNA
Rfam family: Bacterial small subunit ribosomal RNA
Source: RNAcentral
CUAGUGGCGGACGGGUGAGUAACGCGUAAGAAUCUAACUUCAGGACGGGGACAACAGUUGGAAACGACUGCUAAUACCCGAUGUGCCGCAAGGUGAAACCUAAUUGGCCUGAAGAAGAGCUUGCGUCUGAUUAGCUAGUUGGUGGGGUAAAGGCCUACCAAGGCGACGAUCAGUAGCUGGUCUGAGAGGAUGAGCAGCCACACUGGGACUGAGACACGGCCCAGACUCCUACGGGAGGCAGCAGUGGGGAAUUUUCCGCAAUGGGCGAAAGCCUGACGGAGCAACGCCGCGUGAGGGAGGAAGGUCUUUGGAUUGUAAACCUCUUUUCUCAAGGAAGAAGUUCUGACGGUACUUGAGGAAUCAGCCUCGGCUAACUCCGUGCCAGC